This 253-nucleotide ribosomal RNA is filed under the name uncultured bacterium. Its description in RNAcentral is "partial 16S ribosomal RNA". It matches the Rfam family "Bacterial small subunit ribosomal RNA", at positions 524 to 776 of the family's 1533-position model. The record is from RNAcentral.
UACGUAGGGGGCAAGCGUUGUCCGGAUUUAUUGGGCGUAAAGAGCGUGUAGGCGGCCUGACAGGUCUGCUGUGAAAACUCGAGGCUCAACCUCGAGAUGUCGGCGGAAACCGUCUGGCUAGAGUCCGGAAGAGGAGAGUGGAAUUCCUGGUGUAGCGGUGAAAUGCGCAGAUAUCAGGAAGAACACCUAUGGCGAAGGCGGCUCACUGGCCCGAUACUGACGCUGAGGCACGAAAGCGUGGGGAGCAAACAGG